RNAcentral lists this ribosomal RNA (253 nucleotides) under uncultured bacterium. RNAcentral's name for it is "partial 16S ribosomal RNA". It matches the Rfam family "Bacterial small subunit ribosomal RNA", at positions 524 to 776 of the family's 1533-position model. The record is from RNAcentral.
UACGUAGGUGGCAAGCGUUGUCCGGAUUUAUUGGGUUUAAAGGGUGCGUAGGUGGCCUAUUAAGUCAGUGCUGAAAUAUCCCGGCUUAACCGGGAGGGUGGCAUUGAUACUGAUGGACUUGAGUAAAGUUGAGGUAGGCGGAAUUGACGGUGUAGCGGUGAAAUGCUUAGAUAUCGUCAAGAACACCGAUUGCGAAGGCAGCUUACUAAGCUUUAACUGACACUGAGGCACGAAAGUGUGGGGAUCAAACAGG